This 75-nucleotide transfer RNA is filed under the name Candidatus Phycorickettsia trachydisci. RNAcentral's name for it is "tRNA-Gly". It matches the Rfam family "tRNA". Rfam says of the family: Transfer RNA (tRNA) molecules are approximately 80 nucleotides in length. Their secondary structure includes four short double-helical elements and three loops (D, anti-codon, and T loops). The record is from RNAcentral. Lineage: Bacteria; Pseudomonadati; Pseudomonadota; Alphaproteobacteria; Rickettsiales; Rickettsiaceae.
GCGGGUAUAGCUCAGUGGUAGAGCAUUACCUUGCCAAGGUAAGGGUCGUGGGUUCGAAUCCCAUUGCCCGCUCCA